Long non-coding RNA from Schistocerca cancellata (South American locust), 1342 nucleotides. RefSeq lists it as uncharacterized. The record is from RefSeq and is a predicted model, not a curated record. The transcript has 4 exons. NCBI's taxonomy places the organism in Eukaryota, Metazoa, Arthropoda, Insecta, Orthoptera, Acrididae.
CUCCAUGUUGUUGCUCGUUGGGACACCAGCUUACAGCAGAAUUUUACGUCUUCUUCAGAGAGUGUUACGAGUGGCAGAUUGAAGGAUUUGUUGAGAAGUACAAGAGAAUGAAAGAUGGGGCAGCUCUUUUGAAAGGCAGUUUACAUAAGAAAGUGAUGACCUUUGAAAGGUGGUGGUGUGUUUUGACAGAUGAACUUGAUCUCUGCAUUCAGGGAUCUGUGGAGAACAAGUCCUUUGAAGCCGAAAACUCACCUUAGAACAUGUGGGCCGCCCGCUGUGGCCGUGCGGUUCUAGGCGCUUCAGUACGGAACCACGCAGCUGCUAUGGUCGCAGGUUCGAAUCCUGCCUCAGGCAUGGAUGUGUGUGAUGUCCUUAGGUUAGUUAGGUUUAAGUAGUUCUAAGUAUAGGGGUCUGAUGACCUCAGAUGUCAAGUCCCAUAAUGCUUAGAGCCAUUUGAACCAUUUCUGAACAUGCAGUUAGCUGUUCAUUGUGAAGUAAAUUUGCAGAUUUGUUCCACAAAAUUGAACCAUUUAGUUACGUAAAAGGCUUCAGUAAGGUCACAAAAUAUACCAGCAGGAUUAUUUUGGUUGUUUUUAGUUCUGCUAGGUUUUCAUUCAUAAGGGUAUAUGGUGGCUGCUACAUGUGAAACUCAAAAGUAUUUAGCAAAUUUUGUUUGAGUUGAGGACUGAUUAUGGAUGAGGCUCAAGGUUAAUUGUAUCAACCUUUCACAAGAUUUUACUAAUCUGCUAGAAACACUGUCAUAGAAAAAUAUUGCUGCUUUUAGCAACUUGAUGGUAUUUUUAAUUCCCUUUGGUCUUGCAUAUUUGAUAUUAACGACGUUUGAUGAUGUAAAAAGUAUUGAAUUAUCAAUUUCAUGGCUGAAAUGCCACAAUUAUUAAAAUAUUUCUGGCUAUUAUUCUGUUGUUUUUUCUGAUUUCUUUGAUCACUUGUGGCAUAUAAGUUCUUGUAUUCCAUUUGGAACUAAUUAAAGAAUGGAAACUCCAGGUAGGAAUAUCAACAAUUUAGGAAAAGAUAGAUUGCUACUCACUGUAAAGGAGACACGUUAAGUUGCAGACAGGCAUAAUUAAUAUGCAAGUUAAUGUGUCUUCUUUAUGGUAAGUAGCAAUUUGUUUUUUUCUGCAGUGGUGAUAUUCAGCAUUAAUUGUUUGUAGAAUGCAAAGGUUACAAUAUUUACACUGUAACCAAAGGAGUAGGCAACCGUUUUCUUGAAACUGAAAGUGCUUUGCAAACAAACCACUUCUAUUACUUUUGGUUCUUCUUGGAACACUCAAACAGCUUAUUGUUAUUCAGUUUUCAACUCUUGUACCAAAGUCAUAAUAAA